Canis lupus familiaris (dog) is the source of this 1971-nucleotide long non-coding RNA. RefSeq lists it as uncharacterized. The transcript is spliced from 3 exons. The record is from RefSeq and is a predicted model, not a curated record. NCBI's taxonomy places the organism in Eukaryota, Metazoa, Chordata, Mammalia, Carnivora, Canidae.
AUGCAAAUCAAUGUGCCUGAGCUCUCUGUAGAACUUGUGCCUGAACACUCUAUUCUUUCUCCAGAUUACCUAGUGUCCCGAGAGAGGCUCCAGCGAUUUAGAAAAAAGAGGCCAGCACAGGUGUGAGUAGCCCCACUCUAACAUGAGGCCUUUGCUGCUUACUUAACCAAGGAAACCCUGAACCUCUUGUCUAUGCAAGAUGGGAGAACAGCCAACAUCUCAGCAGGUCAGCGAUGCCCCCAUCUGUAUGUUCCAGGGGCUCAUUUCCAAUUCUUCCCCUGGGGUUCCAGAAAUAUCUCUAACAUUAGAAUAAUGUUGACUUCCUUCGGAGGGGAUCUGCCUGCACUUCUCGCUGCUAAUCUGGACCUACCUAACCCUAAAGCACAUUGGAGAGCAAUGAGGAAACCACAUGGGAAGGGACAGGCAAACACUGGCAAGUCACUGUCCCAGACCAUCCUGUGUAGAACCGAUGGGUAUUUGAAAAGUAUCCUCAAGACAUGUGAAGGGUCUGAGAAUUGUCAUCAUUGGGGCUGGAAAUACUCUGGUGAGGAUAUUCCCAACAUAGAUGUGGUUUUUUUUCUUUUGGAGUCACCAAAAAAGGAAGACUAUUCUGCAAUCACAAGUAGAGUUACCCUUCAUUCACUCACUGAACAUUUCUUAGGUGUCUUCUGUAUACUGGGCAUCAUACUGAGGAUACAGAAUCAUGGCAAAGACUUAUAAAUAUACUUAGCUCCUGCUUUCACAGAGUUGUAGGGUGUGCAGGCUUCACAGCUGGUUAUUUUACAACAAAUUCCUUCAUGAUAAACGAGACAUCAGAGAUGGCAAACAGGUCAACCUGGUGGUUGGGGCCAACCCAUUACCAUCAUAGAGACUAGAAGACGUGAUUGAAUGUGAAUAUGGUGGCAAAGGAAGAGUUCUGGUUCAUAAAUUAUCAGGAAGCACAGUGUUACAUCGACAGUGACAGAGAAUGCAACCCCAACUCCCCCAUAUAGGGUAGUGAGGAAGAUGGGAAGAUUUAGGGAACAUAUGGAAUGUCUCUUGUCCCCCCAAAAUGUGUUUUGGACAUGCAUAUUAUUGUUUGUCCUACCAAAAAGUAGAGAAUCUAUUUUUCUAAAUAGGUAACAGUAUUCUAAUAGAAAUUAUCAUUAAAAAGUCAACCAGUAUUUACUCCCAAUCCUUCUGUCAUAGAGUUACAGUAAAAGAACACAAAUGGAAAGUAGCAGGAUACAGAACUGAAUGAAUAAGAUGAUGAUUACAACAAAACAAAUAAUCAACCUAUUCCUUGGAAUGGAAGGGUCUAGUGAGGAAAUGUCCAAAGAAAACAUCAAAAAAGUUUUAAACAACAACAACAACACUUAUUUGGUCUUCUUCAGGUUCCCUUUUGCUAAUACUUUGCUAUUAAAAUUUUGAAGAACUACUUUGAAACACACUCUUCAUGGAAAGUCAUGGGUUCUCAGCCAAAGGAAACCAAAGUCAACCAUCUGAACUUGCCUGUAGUCCAGAGAGAACCCUGGCCAUGGAGGGACUUCGGGGAAACCAGUGACAGAGAAGUGGUGAGACCUCGUGGAAGGGUGUUUGCCAGCCUGAGGCUCCACCCUGAGGUACAGGGAGCGAAGAGGAGGUGCAGUUGGAAAUGGGACUACAGUGUAACUGGAGAGCAGUGCGGAGGCAGGCGUGAGUAUACAGACAGCCUCUGAAGGGCCAGAACCAAUGAGGCCAGGACCUGACUGGGUGACCAUGAGAGAGUCACUUUAUUGGGCUUCACGAACCUUGCCUAUAGAAGGAAAGGCAAGACCGGACAAUCUCUAAGCAACUUUCUAACUCUAAACAUAUGGGAAUCUGAAUUGUAUGAUUCAUUUCAACAUUUAGCCAUUGAAGACCCUGGCUGUACCUGAAGCACUGUAGGUCAACAACCACAAACAUCCUCCUUGAUUUAGCUCAUGUCAAUUAAAAACAAUUGAAUACCUGUUA